UACGUAAGGGGCAAGCGUUGUCCGGAUUUACUGGGCGUAAAGCGCGUGUAGGCGGCUGCCAAAGUCGGGUGUGAAAGCCUUGAGCUCAACUCAAGAAUGGCACUCGAUACUUGGUGGCUAGAGGACCGGAGAGGAUAGUGGAAUUCCCGGUGUAGUGGUGAAAUACGUAGAGAUUGGGAAGAACACCAGUGGCGAAGGCGGCUAUCUGGACGGUUUCUGACGCUAAGACGCGAAAGCGUGGGGAGCAAACAGG
RNAcentral lists this ribosomal RNA (253 nucleotides) under uncultured bacterium. Its description in RNAcentral is "partial 16S ribosomal RNA". It matches the Rfam family "Bacterial small subunit ribosomal RNA", at positions 524 to 776 of the family's 1533-position model. The record is from RNAcentral.